AGUUCGUGGAGUGAUCUGUCUGCUUAAUUGCGUUUCACUAAGGACCUAUACAUUUACGUGUGUUGCAGCACUUUGACCCCUCUUUUCAACUUCUGUUGUUUAAGGGCGUGUGUCUUAGCUUUUGCUUGCUCGCACAACUAGGUCCUGAAAGCAACGAACGUGACCGCAACCUCUUGUUGCCUUUUGAUACCAACAGUUUCUUUCUUCGCACUCUGUGUGUUGAUUGACUGCAUAAAGGCUUUUUAAACUAGAGGGACCGCUGUUACUUUCUUAAACCAGAGGAAGGUUGCGGCAAUAACAGGUC
RNAcentral lists this ribosomal RNA (304 nucleotides) under Foraminifera sp. RNAcentral describes it as "SSU rRNA". The record is from RNAcentral. Lineage: Eukaryota; Foraminifera.